AACGCGAAGAACCUUACCCAGGCUCGAAAUGUAGAGGACAACGCCGGAAACGGCGUCUUCCGAAAGGACCUCUAUAUAGGUGCUGCAUGGCUGUCGUCAGCUCGUGCCGUGAGGUGUUGGGUUAAGUCCCGCAACGAGCGCAACCCUUAUUGUUAGUUGCCAACGAUUAUGUCGGGAACUCUAACAAGACUGCCUGGGUUAACCAGGAGGAAGGUGAGGAUGACGUCAAGUCCGCAUGGCCUUUAUGUCUGGGGCAACACACGUGCUACAAUGGCUGGUACAGAAGGCAGCGAAACCGUGAGGUGGAGCAAAUCCUAAAAAGCCAGUCUCAGUUCGGAUUGUAGUCUGCAACUCGACUACAUGAAGUUGGAAUUGCUAGUAAUGGCGGGUCAGCUACACCGCCGUGAAUACGUUCCCGGGCCUUGUACACACCGCAUAC
Molecule: ribosomal RNA, 439 nt
Filed under: uncultured bacterium
Lineage: Bacteria
Description: bacterial SSU rRNA
Rfam family: Bacterial small subunit ribosomal RNA
Source: RNAcentral